Long non-coding RNA from Cannabis sativa, 1206 nucleotides. RefSeq lists it as uncharacterized. Lineage: Eukaryota; Viridiplantae; Streptophyta; Magnoliopsida; Rosales; Cannabaceae. The transcript is spliced from 3 exons. The record is from RefSeq and is a predicted model, not a curated record.
UGAUUAAUAUUGUUGGAAAUUAUUUGUUCUAACCAACACACUUUAAGAAGCAAAAUUAAUAUUAUAUGCAAAUUGGUAUUUUUCUAAAAUUUAUUAUUUUAUGUGUUCAUAAAAUAAUAGUGUCAAUUUUAUAAACUAAUACAAUUUUGCAAUCUUUGUUUCAGCCCAAACACAAAAGGUUCGGCCCACUAAGCCAAAGCCCAAGAAGAGAUUAACUCAACAAAGAGUCAAUGACUCUUCUCACUAAAGUGGUUCGGCCCACUAUCAAUCAACCAAAGAGAGUUUUCUCUCUCCAAUCACUCCUUCAGUCAAUGCAAGAAUUCAAACAAGACUCUCCUUUGAUAUAUAUUCGGCCCAGCAAGUAUAUCAGCCCAACUUAAAUGAAACCCUAAGUUAAUAAACCCUAAUAUAAAAGCCAAAGGUAUAACACUAAAAACCUAAUACUUUCUUCUUCUCUAUUCGGCAGCCACUAUCAUUCCCUCUCUAAAAUAUUCAAAACUUUCCAAAAAACCUUCUUCUCUCUAAUGGCAGCUGCUAGGGUUUUCUAGGGUUAGGGUUUCUUUCACUUCUUCUUCUUUUCAACACAAAGGCAACAAGAGUUUAUGGAGUUAAUUUCUUCUCUUCUUCUUGCUACAGCCGCAAGGAUUAAUGUUCUUCAAAGUUUAUACCCGAAACAAGAACAACCAAAAACACAAAUCUUCUACCCGAAAAUACUAACCCAGAAAAGCACUCACUCACGGCUUUACUCACUCAAAAACCGAACCACAAAAAUGUUUCACAUCCUCAUGGCCAAAAAACCAAACCGAAAAAUACAACCCGAAUAAAUCCCUUUAGCUUUCGGCCAAUACAAUACACACCCAAAAAUCAAGAACAUAAACACAUGCACAAAUACAAAUACCACAAAAAAUAAUAAGAGUGAGAUGAGAGAAUGAAAACAGUGAUUAAAGUAGAUGACACCAAAACUUUGAUCUCGGAGUUCGCCCAAAACAACCGGCUACUUCUCCGUCAAGCCCUCAGCUUGAUUCCACUAAUCAUCAAACAAAGGAGGAGCUCACAUGGAGAUGACAACUCACAGCCAAAAGGCUCUCUUUUUACUUUGUUGUUAUUUCUGAUGUUGUUCUCUGUUGUUGUAUCUCUCUGGCUGUGACUCUUUAUUUUGCUCUGUAUAUUAUUGCUUGUUGUAUCUGAGAAAAGCACCUCCUUUUA